RNAcentral lists this ribosomal RNA (125 nucleotides) under Chaetomiaceae sp. RNAcentral describes it as "partial small subunit ribosomal RNA". It matches the Rfam family "Eukaryotic small subunit ribosomal RNA", at positions 1657 to 1779 of the family's 1831-position model. The record is from RNAcentral. Lineage: Eukaryota; Fungi; Ascomycota; Sordariomycetes; Sordariales; Chaetomiaceae.
CCUUUGUACACACCGCCCGUCGCUCCUACCGAUUGAAUGGCUCAGUGAGGCUUCCGGACUGGCCCAGAGAGGUCGGCAACGACCACUCAGGGCCGGAAAGCUAUCCAAACUCGGUCAUUUAGAGG